GUGGGGAAUAUUGGGCAAUGGGCGCAAGCCUGACCCAGCAACGCCGCGUGAGGGAAGAAGGUUUUCGGAUUGUAAACCUCUGUCGCAGAUGACGAAGGAAGUGACGGUAAUCUGUGAGGAAGCCCCGGCUAACUACGUGCCAGCAGCCGCGGUAAUACGUAGGGGGCGAGCGUUGUCCGGAAUUACUGGGCGUAAAGGGAGCGUAGGCGGUCGAUUAAGUUGGAUGUGAAAUACCCGGGCUUAACUUGGGGGGUGCAUCCAAUACUGGUUGACUAGAGUACAGGAGAGGAAAGCGGAAUUCCUAGUGUAGCGGUGAAAUGCAUAGAUAUUAGGAGGAACAUCGGUGGCGAAGGCGGCUUUCUGGACUGACACUGACGCUGAGGCUCGAAAGCGUGGGGAGCAAACAGGAUUAGAAACCCCGGUAGUCC
RNAcentral lists this ribosomal RNA (428 nucleotides) under uncultured bacterium. RNAcentral's name for it is "partial 16S ribosomal RNA". It matches the Rfam family "Bacterial small subunit ribosomal RNA", at positions 354 to 796 of the family's 1533-position model. The record is from RNAcentral.